RNAcentral lists this unclassified non-coding RNA (255 nucleotides) under Hevea brasiliensis (rubber tree). Lineage: Eukaryota; Viridiplantae; Streptophyta; Magnoliopsida; Malpighiales; Euphorbiaceae. The record is from RNAcentral.
GAAAAAGGUAUCCUCCUAUAAGAAUACCAAAGAAUUUGCAUGACCAUUGGGAAGAGAUUUUGAGAUCUCAUUUGAUAGAAUCAUCACGUCUGAUUAUAGUAAAUGGGUGGUCAGGUUGAUAAUGACCUGUUUUUUGAAUUUUUUUUUUCCUUAUUUUCAUUACAAGUUUGCUUCAGUAGCUGGUUAUGUUAAUAGGAUAUGCUGUUCCUGUAGUAGAUUAUGUGGAGAAACAAACUUCUAUCCAAACAACAAAAU